UGGGGAAUAUUGGACAAUGGGCGCAAGCCUGAUCCAGCCAUGCCGCGUGUGUGAAGAAGGCCUUUUGGUUGUAAAGCACUUUAAGCGAGGAGGAGGCUACUUGGAUUAAUACUCUAGGAUAGUGGACGUUACUCGCAGAAUAAGCACCGGCUAACUCUGUGCCAGCAGCCGCGGUAAUACAGAGGGUGCGAGCGUUAAUCGGAUUUACUGGGCGUAAAGCGUGCGUAGGCGGCUUUUUAAGUCGGAUGUGAAACCCCUGAGCUUAACUUAGGAAUUGCAAUAGAUACUGGGAAGCUAGAGUAUGGGAGAGGAUGAUAGAAUUCCAGGUGUAGCGGUGAAGUGCGUAGAGAUCUGGAAGAAUACCGAUGGCGAAGGCAGCCAUCUGGCCUAAUACUGACGCUGAGGUACGAAAGCAUGGGGAGCAAACAGA
RNAcentral lists this ribosomal RNA (430 nucleotides) under Bacillota bacterium. RNAcentral describes it as "Firmicutes bacterium partial 16S ribosomal RNA". It matches the Rfam family "Bacterial small subunit ribosomal RNA", at positions 355 to 776 of the family's 1533-position model. Lineage: Bacteria; Bacillati; Bacillota. The record is from RNAcentral.